Molecule: long non-coding RNA, 629 nt
Organism: Solea senegalensis (Senegalese sole)
Lineage: Eukaryota; Metazoa; Chordata; Actinopteri; Pleuronectiformes; Soleidae
Exons: 5
Source: RefSeq, a predicted model, not a curated record
AUCUUUGACGAUGAUUUUAUUGUUUCACUCUGAAAGAAUUAGGAAGAAUUCAUGUAAACAAAUGACUUAAUGUUUAAGAUGUUUUUGUUAUUAUUAUUUUAUUUCCACAGCUAUCAUGUUCUGUAUCAGUUACAGCAUGAGUGAGCUCACACACUGGAUCAAAAAAAGGUCCCAUUAAAAGGUCCUCAGGGGUGAAAUGGUCUGCUGUGGGUCUGGAGUCUCACGGCCAGGUUUGUGGUGUGGAAAAUCAAUAAGAGCCAAGCGGAAGGAGGGCCGCACCAAAUCCAAGUUCUGCUUUGGGGCCCCAUAGAGGCUUGGUCCGGCCCUGAUACCUCAUAGUUUGGCUGAAAUCUGCAUCUUGUGGGAAACUGAACGCCCUCAGCAGAGAUGUGGCCGCGAUGAUGUGAGAAUGUGUCUGAUGUCCAACCUCAGCCCAAAUAUGACCCAGCGCACUCCACAUUAAGGCCCAUCCUUGUCAGCCCAUAGGGUAGAGCUGCUUGAUUGACAGCUGAGUUCAGCAUCUUGACACAGGUCUUACAGGGGCUACGAGAGGGUGAUGCACUGCAGAAACUCAUCAUCAAAUACACCAGACUCCUCUGUUAAAUAUUGAGAUUUCAGACAUUUCCGUG